This is a long non-coding RNA of Sebastes umbrosus (honeycomb rockfish), 3451 nucleotides long. RefSeq lists it as uncharacterized. The transcript has 4 exons. NCBI's taxonomy places the organism in Eukaryota, Metazoa, Chordata, Actinopteri, Perciformes, Sebastidae. The record is from RefSeq and is a predicted model, not a curated record.
AUAAUAUGUGUGAUUCAUGGCACAAUUCAAACAGUAUCAAAAAAAUACUUGUCUCUCGCCAUUGACUACCGUUUUUCUGAAAUAAAGUCCCAUGGCGGUCCACUGGAAGGGGCGGGACUUUGCCUCUCUAUAGAGCAACUUUGGGAUGUUGUGAAACUGGACAUUUGCAUCAUGGAUGUGCAGCCGAUAUAUCUGCAGCAACUGUGUGAUGCUAUCAUGUCAAUAUGGACCAAAAUCUGAGGAACGUUUCCGCACCUUGUUGAAAGAAAAGAAAAAGUCAAACCCGGUCGGAGCAAGGUGUACCCAACACGUGUGACAUGCACUAUACUGUCUCUGUACCAAACAUCUUCUGACUGAAUUUCCCCAUGGACAAUGAGCAGCACUGUGUCAUGUCGUGCGAGCAGGAGCCGAAGGAACCAACUGCAGAGAGAAAGGCCUGUUGUGUAGUCAGAUCAGAGCUUAACUCUCAGGCGUCCUGCCAGGACAGCUGCACCCGUUUGGAAGACUUGCAGCCACAGCCACGAGGCGCCUCAGAGGAGCGUCUGAUUCAUGGAUAUCGCUGCCUAACCUGAGAGAUGAAGCAGGAAGAGGCACAGAUGGGCGCAGAGGGAGGAGACCACUGCCUGUACAGAGGAGAUGGUGACAACAUCUCACGGUCAGCAAGGGCAGGAAACUAACUCUGCUCUCUUCCAGUUUCUGCCACUGACAGCACUCAUCUGAAGGAAGGAUGUUUCAUACUCUUCAACCGUCUCACAGGGAAUUACAGGAAGCCUUGGAGUGCCCCUCACAGUUAAAGGAACAGAAAGAAAGCGGGUCACCAUGGAGCUAAUUUUGCUUGCUGCAGAGCUGUGAGAGCCCACCAGCAACUCUCACUUUGUCUGUGAUCUCUCCCCAAUCCCUCUGCCCUGCAGCAAUCCCCUCAGCAGCCAGCAAGGUCUAUGUGACCCCUGAGGGCUGGCCAGCCAGUGAACCCCUCAUGAAGGCCGAGGAUCUAACACAGAGGGGUUUUAACAAUGGCUCGGUCGAAGAAGAUGAUGAAGAAGAAGAGGAGCGGCACCGUGUGCUGUGAGAGACUAAUCAUCACGCUCAUGGGCUUCUGGAGACCGAAGGUGCCAGACUUCACCACGGAGCUAAAAACCAUCUUGAGGGAGCAGAAAUCAAUGAACACGCUCAUCCAAAGAUCUGUGUUUGACCUGCUUUUGAAGCAUUGUUGUGCUCUAAAAUACUGAAACCGCUUAUCUCAAUGUUUUUUAACUUUCAGAUCGCUGUCUCGGGAAUAUGUGUGAGUACAUUACUCCAAAGAACAAAACAGACAGUUGAUUGAUGGGUCCAAAGUAUCCUGUAAAGUAGAAAACACCAGAUGAAACAAAUAUACACUAUCAAACUUUGAGUCUCACAGGCCUAUUGUGCGUUUUUGAAGAGAGCACAAAAGCUUCUUUUUUUCACUUUUUUUUGGAGCUGUGAAACGUCUUUUGUUGGGAGAUUUCCAAAUAGUUUCCAUCCGUCCCAAAUCCUUAACAUUUUGGAAUAAAUUUAAAUGCAGGUUGUGAAAUGGCUGCAGCUUUCAGCUGGUUAUGCAGAAAAUAACGAGGUUCUUCUACCUCCAAAUUGUUCAGGGAAGUCCCACUUAAAUUCCUGCACCCCAGGAUCACAUCAGGAUACGUCUUGCACAGAAACUAGAUGAAUUAGCAAUAAACAAUAAAAAGCAUCACCUCCAGCUCACUAAUGACUACCCAUGAUCCUCCUCUCCUUCCUGCACAUAUUCCACCAGGGAGCGGGAGAGUGAUGUGGGGUGUGCCUCAAGUUUUCUGCUUACCCUUAUUGCUUUUGCUGCCGAACACAAUAUUAUUAUCUUCAGCUGCAGGCCUCAGAGCACACAACUUGUAAAUAAUAAACCAAGCUGGACAGAAGCCUGUGAGGCCACUGCUAAUCCUGGUAUUAUUCCACUUUUAUUGUUGCUAUUUGCUCAUUAUUUCUCAUCUCCUCUGGCUGAAGACAGCCAGUUAAAUUAUUUUCACCCCAUUGUUUUCUUCUGCCACAAAGGCCGAAUUAGCGUCGAGGACAGGCAACAUUUAGAAAUGCCUUUAUUCCUUUUUAGCCCUCCUUUCCUCACUCUUGACCCCUUUAGCGCCCACGAGGCAUCGCAAACUGUCACUGUGGGUGUUGGUUGAUGCUGUAAGUCCUGAACAUAAUUAUGAAUAAUGUUUUUUAUUAUGUUUUAAUUUGAAAACUUCCUCCCAUUCAGGGAGAAUCUGGAAAAAGGGAGGUAGUAAUCUCCAGAUUCAAGCUACAACCCUGUUGGGUCACUCGUGGAUGUUUUGGGAGAAUGAGAUCAACACGAAGUUAAACCAGACUGAUGUUUUACUCAAAAACCAAUUUGGGUAGUUAUAAUUCAGUCAUCUGAGCGUGAUGUUUGAGCCUCCAGAGAGCUGCAAUCUUCUGUAUUUACUGAAAAUGGAAACACGCAGGUCUGACUCAGUAGUCCUUAUGGGAGGAAGGACUCUGACGAAGCCUCGGGGCAAAACUAGCUGUUCUCUUAAAUGUGCUCAUUGUUGCUCUGCAGAUACCUAAAGAUAUGCAGCUAAUGAAACGGCUCUGAAGGCUUUCACUAUAUGGAACAUUACUUUCUGUGUGGUAUGAAUAAUUAUUCUUGCUCUUACUGCACCUGAUGAAAGUUCUGCUGCAUAGAAAAUCUGCAUUUAACAUUGUACUAAACUUACCCAAUACUAAACAUUAGUAGGGCUGCCCCCUCUUAGUCGAUUAAUUGACUAAUCGGUUGUUUUGGUUUAAAUCGACUAAGAUUUCUUAUGUCGAUUAGUCAUUUUUUUAUGUUUUUUUCAUGUUGAAUUACUUAUUUCUAAGAAACUUAUGAGCACAUCUCUUGUAAACACAAGAUCUGAAGUGAUGCUUUUUGUGUGAUUCUUCAUGGAGACACUCAGUUUUACAGAUCUUUGGAUUAAAGCAACUAAUCGAUUAAUCGAUAAAAUCGCGUUGGACGUAUUUUGUCGUGGUUUGUCUUGGACGUAUCACAAAUAUGUUUGUAAUAGUUUUAGGAAGGAUGUAGUACAACGAGUGUCACGCAGAGCAGGUGACGUUGUAGAUCGAGCAACUGUUAAUGAAAGUUACGUGGUAUAAUAACGAAUAUAACAAGCUGCUGUUCGUGUCCUGUUUAAAUCUAAAAGUCAACGUUGACUUAUUUAUGUUGCCUAAACCCAACUAAGUAGUUUUGUGCAUUUUUCUUUUUUUUGUUAUUCACGUUAACCACUUGUUUAAAACUGUUUUCAACACUACCGUAAAAAUGCGACAAUUAUUGCGGGAAAAAAUAUGUUUCCCUCAGAAUGUAACUGAGAAUGCAGUUUAGUUGUAUAGCUAUGUAAUUUUGUGGGAGACGGGGUUGAGAUUUGAGUUUGCCAGUGUUGUCCUCCAAUUAAAAAUUGAAGUGAAGAAAGAA